AUUGGACUGAAGAUGGCUUCAGUAACUUUUUCUUGUAUGCUUCUUAGUUCUGUCAGAAUUUUUUUUUUUGUUUUUAAUUUAAGUCUGGCAGUAGGCAGGCCACCCUUUGGAUUGCUGUGUCUCUCGGCCCAACUGGAAGUCUCCAAAGGGAAAAUAUCCUAACAUCAGGCAAAAGUUCCAUCUGAACUUUCUCAGUGUCUGGUGGCCAUAGCUACGGUGGAGUUGGAUUUGUUGGCCUCUUUCAUCCUCCACAGUUUGCCUUGCAAUUUGCAGAUGUGGCAGCUGCUCGCAGAAGGAAG
RNAcentral lists this long non-coding RNA (299 nucleotides) under Cavia porcellus (domestic guinea pig). RNAcentral describes it as "lncRNA (ENSCPOG00000032560.1)". Lineage: Eukaryota; Metazoa; Chordata; Mammalia; Rodentia; Caviidae. The record is from RNAcentral.